This 253-nucleotide ribosomal RNA is filed under the name uncultured bacterium. RNAcentral describes it as "partial 16S ribosomal RNA". It matches the Rfam family "Bacterial small subunit ribosomal RNA", at positions 524 to 776 of the family's 1533-position model. The record is from RNAcentral.
UACGAAAGGGGCUAGCGUUGUUCGGAAUUACUGGGCGUAAAGCGCACGCAGGCGGCCUGUCAAGCCAGGGGUGAAAGCCCAGAGCUCAACUCCGGAAUUGCCUCUGAAACUGGUAAGCUCGAGGAUGUGAGAGGUGAGUGGAAGUCCCAGUGUAGAGGUGAAGUUCGUAGAUAUUCGGAAGAACACCGGUGGCGAAGGCGGCUCACUGGCCCGUUUCUGACGCUCAGGUGCGAAAGCGUGGGGAGCAAACAGG